Molecule: ribosomal RNA, 355 nt
Filed under: Bathygobius soporator (frillfin goby)
Lineage: Eukaryota; Metazoa; Chordata; Actinopteri; Gobiiformes; Gobiidae
Description: partial small subunit ribosomal RNA
Rfam family: Bacterial small subunit ribosomal RNA
Source: RNAcentral
GCCAGGGAACUACGAGCGCAAGCUUAAAACCCAAAGGAUUUGGCGGUGCUUUAGACCCCCCUAGAGGAGCCUGUUAUAGAACCGAUACUCCCCGUUAAACCUCACCCUCUCUUGUUCUCCCCGCCUAUAUACCGCCGUCGUCAGCUUACCUUGUGAGAGACCAGUAGUAAGCAAAAUUGGCAAAGCCCAAAACGUCAGGUCGAGGUGUAGCGUAUGAGAGGGGAAUAAAUGGGCUACAUUUACUGCCUCAGUACAUACGGACGAUGACCUGAAAUUACAUCCGAAGGAGGAUUUAGCAGUAAGGGGGAAAUAGAGUGUCCCCCUGAAGACGGCUCUGAAGCGCGCACACACCGCC